GUCUGGUUGGCUCAGUUGGUAGAGCGUCGGUCUCAUAAUAUGACUUUCACACAGUGGAAGAUAUCCGAAGAUCGCGAGUUCGAUCCUCGCACCGGACA
Non-coding RNA from Pyronema omphalodes CBS 100304, 98 nucleotides. NCBI's taxonomy places the organism in Eukaryota, Fungi, Ascomycota, Pezizomycetes, Pezizales, Pyronemataceae. The record is from Rfam.